CCAUGAUAGUCACACUAAGGUAAAAUUGGCUAAAGUUUUUUCUGACUAGGCCUAACUCACAUCUAUACCAUUGCAGGUAAACAUGCAUGAUGAUGAUUGAAGCUAAAGGUACAGUGUUGAACUUCGGAGGAGAUCUACAAAAACCUUUUACAAAAAUAGGUCAGGAAUAUGGUUCAUGUACCACAAGUUAGUAAUAAUGUGUUUCUUGCGUGCUUAUUCAAAAGGAUAGCAAAACUAAUUCAACUGCCACAUUAUCUGUCCUUUCAGAGUCUACAUAACAUGUCUUAUCUCUCAAAUCCUUCCAUUUCCUCUACACGUUACGUAUUCCCACAAACCUACUGUCAUUUCAAAACACUUCAGAACCCAUUCCUCUUCCCUAUUAUUAUUAGCUCUUUAUUCCAUAAAACUCGCACACUCCCAGCAGUUCUGAACAAUUAUCUCCCUUUGUUUUUCUUUAAUUUUUACUUUAGAACUCUCUACCACUUCUCUCACCAUGGCUAACGAAUAAUCGUCUCUUUCUCAUGUCAUCAACA
RNAcentral lists this long non-coding RNA (533 nucleotides) under Nicotiana benthamiana. RNAcentral's name for it is "long non-coding RNA (NBEN_LNC017208)". The record is from RNAcentral. Lineage: Eukaryota; Viridiplantae; Streptophyta; Magnoliopsida; Solanales; Solanaceae.